UCCCUUGUAGCUCAGUCGGUAAAGAAUCUGUCUGCAAUGCAGGAAACCUGGGUUCGAUUCCUGGGCUGGGAA
Non-coding RNA from Bos taurus (domestic cattle), 72 nucleotides. NCBI's taxonomy places the organism in Eukaryota, Metazoa, Chordata, Mammalia, Artiodactyla, Bovidae. The record is from Rfam.